Molecule: ribosomal RNA, 897 nt
Filed under: Triticum aestivum (bread wheat)
Lineage: Eukaryota; Viridiplantae; Streptophyta; Magnoliopsida; Poales; Poaceae
Description: partial small subunit ribosomal RNA
Source: RNAcentral
AUGCUCAACGAGCUGGGCCUCGACUUCGACUUCGUCGACAUCGACCUCCGCACCGGCAUCGACCUCCGCACCGGCACCCACAAGCACCCCGACUUCCUCAAGCUCAACCCUUGGUAUACGCGCAUCAGUCUCGGUAGCAGUAGGAUUUACUCGCACCGGGUCACCGACCGGAUGUAUCUUGUUCUUCUGUUCACCCGAGCUCGACAGGCUGCUCGAUCGUGUCGACGAGCGGGAUCCUCCUGGCGGCUGCUGCUCCUCGGCGUCCAUGAGCUGGGCUCCUCGAAUCCCGUCGUCGCCCUCCACGAGCGGGUUCCUCCCGGCGGCCACUGCUCGUCCACGAGUGAGUUACCUUGGACGUUCAUGCUUCUUCUCUGGUGUAUAUUCAAUUCAACAUAUGGUGGUUCUUCAGGUAGCCUUGGCGUGCAUUUUCAGUUCAUCUUGCAGGUGAAGGAGCUCCCCUUCAGUUUAUCUUGCAGGUGUGUUUGGGCAGUACAAACACAUCACCAUAGUUUGUACAGAUUAUCUCUGGAUCCAAAGAAAGAAAGAAAUCUCCAGCCAACUUGCCUUGAAACUAAUCAAGCCCUAUUUUUUGUUGUCACCGAGCAACAAGAAAACAGCCCCCAGGCCGUUCACAGCCGCCACCGAGGCCGUUCAACUAGGGGUCCUUCAACAACGCAGCAUAUGGUCCUCCUCGCCGGAUGUUAUGCACUUCCUUUGAUUUUCGUGCGUGUUCUUGUAACACAAUCAGUUCACAUGUCGAGAUACCAUAAGUUCAAGUUCACUAUUCACUUUGAUUCCUACAGGUGGUUCAAUGUGUCGAGCGGUGGCAGCGCUUGCUCCCAAUGGUUGCUCGCGCAAGGAGGAUACAGGGAUGCUACAUUGCAGGAGGAGCAGUAG